UACUUAGUAACAUAACUUCAAUUCCACUCAUCAUGCCUCUGUAUGCCAUGCAGAGAGUUAGGUAACAGAAAUAAAGAAGAAAGAGGAGCAGAAGAAAGAGGAGGAGACUAGGAAGUUGAGAAGAAGGAAAGGUGAAGGAGGAGGAAGAAACAUCUAAAUAGUUUGAAGAGAUUCGUUGACAUUUAUGAUCCAGUUCUACUCACCAGUAUUUAUCACCUUUGUCUGCAAGAAAUAUGCUUACAAUCACAGCUCCCUGAAAACUGCCUGGGAUCCCUCCUCCCUAGAGCACCAUGAAGCCAGCUUCCCCCUCUCCAGGCCAUGGAAGGGC
This 328-nucleotide long non-coding RNA is filed under the name Rhinopithecus bieti (black snub-nosed monkey). Its description in RNAcentral is "lncRNA (ENSRBIG00000046059.1)". Lineage: Eukaryota; Metazoa; Chordata; Mammalia; Primates; Cercopithecidae. The record is from RNAcentral.